RNAcentral lists this transfer RNA (76 nucleotides) under Myxococcales bacterium. RNAcentral describes it as "tRNA-Lys". It matches the Rfam family "tRNA". From Rfam's summary of the family: Transfer RNA (tRNA) molecules are approximately 80 nucleotides in length. Their secondary structure includes four short double-helical elements and three loops (D, anti-codon, and T loops). The record is from RNAcentral. Lineage: Bacteria; Pseudomonadati; Myxococcota; Myxococcia; Myxococcales.
GGGCCGUUAGCUCAGUUGGUAGAGCACCGGACUUUUAAUCCGAGGGUCGAGGGUUCGAGUCCCUCACGGCCCACCA